This is a long non-coding RNA of Sapajus apella (tufted capuchin), 3355 nucleotides long. RefSeq lists it as uncharacterized. The transcript has 2 exons. Lineage: Eukaryota; Metazoa; Chordata; Mammalia; Primates; Cebidae. The record is from RefSeq and is a predicted model, not a curated record.
UUUUUUUGAGACAGAGUCUUGCUCUGUAGCCCAGGCUGGAGUACAUGCAGUGGUGCCAUCUUGGCUCACUGCAACCUCUGCCUCGAGAUUCAAGCUAUUCCCUUGCCUCAGACUCAUGAGCUAGGGCUACAGGCAUGAGCCACCAUGCCCAGCUAGUUUUUUGAAGACAGGUGAUGCUGCUCAAAUUUAAUCAUUAAAGGUCUCUCCUCUUAGACGACACUAGGAAACAUUUGGGUUGUAUCCAUUUCACUCUCUGUGCUGAACUUGAUGUCACAUAAUUGCUGGUCAGUCUAAUACUUUCAUAUGUACAUCUUUUUCAAAUUAGAAAAUAUAUUGUAAUAUAAAAAUCAAUAUCAGUUCUAACUUUGCAUAGGAACCUGUUAGAAAGUUUAAUGAUAUAAGCUCUAAGAACUUAACAGUGCAAAGAUCUCAAGACUAUAACAUUCUUAGAAGUUAUUUCAACCACAUUUUCCUAAGACUGAAAUGCAGAAACUUACAGAACUCAGUAAAAAGAUAAAAAUGUAAAUACUGAAUAUUGAAAAGAUGCAAGUUCUCUCCAAAUACACUUAUAGGCUGAGUAAAAUUCAAAUUUAAAGACAAUUUGUUAAAGAUGAGGCAAGAAUCUAGGGAAGACAAAUUAUCUGAAGUUUGUCUGGAAAAAUCAAUGGGUGAAAAGAAAAGAUUUUAGGACAAGAUUAAUAAAAUUUUCUUUCAAUUGUAAAAGUAAAAUGAUAAAAUCAGAUCUAUAUGGGACUGAUGUCAGGAAUAUUAUACAAAGUUAUGGGAAAGCAUGAAAUAGUUUUAUUGAAAGAUAUUUGUGAUUAUCUCAUUGGCUACAAAAGAAGAAUUUACAAUAGUUGAGAUUCUGUUAUGUGUAAAGUUGUCCAACAGUUAUAAGGAUUAAAUGAGGAUCUCCCCCCAAAAUUUUUUACAAUAGGAUGAACAAGCAUUUAUAUAAAAUGAAAAGCUCGCACAGUGACACCACUUGAUUCUUCAAUACUUAAUUUUAAAGGCAAGCAAUUAAACUGUUUAUAAGGAUACCUUUGAAUAUGACAGUGUUCGCUUCUGAAAAUAAAUUAAAGGCUGAAUUGUUCUAUAUAUGGUAACGGGGGGACAAGAAGUUUUGCCAGCUUUUAUUACACAUAAAAUGAAAACAGACAUAGAUUUAUUCACCUUAACAGUAGUAAUAUUUUAAAAGUACCAAAUUCAAGUUCUUUUUGGCUUCUCUUUGGGAAUUAAUGCCAUAUUAAACCUAAUUCCUAUUCUUCUUGAGAGUGAUAUUUAUUCUUCUUGCCAUCGGUAACUCCUACUUGGAAAUUAAGUCUUGACAAGGACAGCAAGCUUCAGUAUCAAUUUUUCUCAGAAUGAUUUGGCAUGAUAUUUAGUGGAUCAGUUUUUGGCCUUUAUAGAAUGAACUUCCUGAGCUUUUGAAAGUCAUGGUCAAUAUGUGCCUGUCAGAUAGAGAGGACACACUAAUCAGUAGCACGUGCUCUUGAUUUGUUUAGCAUUCAAUGUCGGUAAAUACUUUUAUCAAAACCAUUAUUCUCUUACGGGAAUGUGUUAUUUACCAACGUUGAUAACAUCACCGACUGUGAUUUUUUAAAAUAGGAAACAGUGUAUUCUGAGUAUAAUCAGUCCUCAUUUCCCCUUGUUAAAGAAACAAAAUUGAAGAAACACUUUUAAUUUAGAAGAAAAACAUUCAAAUCUGUUUACCUUCAUUUGUUAGACUAGAAAAUCUGUAUAUAUAACAAGAAAAUUAAAAACUAAAAAGAUAAAAAAUGCAUUAAAAUUAUGGACUUUGUAUCAAAUAAUAGUUAAAAUAAAAAGACUUAGAAACUUAGACAUCUUGAUUGAAACCCAGCUGUGCCCAUAUUGUGAUGAAAAUCUUACUUCACUUCUGUGGUCUUCUUCUCCAAAUCCUGUCGUCCCAGUUUAAUCAUGAGAAAAACCUCAGAUGAAUUCCAAUAGUGGGACAUUCUACAAAACAUUUGGCCAGUACUCAUCAAAACCAUCAGGGUCAUUGAAAAUAAGGAAAGCUUGAGGAACUGUUAAAGUUGAGGAGAGCCUAAGGAGACAGGAUGGCUGAAUGGAAUAUGGAAUCCUUCAGGGGAUCCUGGGACAGAAAAAGAACAUGAGAUUACAAAUGAAGGAAAUCUAAGUAAACCAAGGACUUUAGUCAAUGAUCAUAUUCCAGUCCUGACUGAAUAAUUGUGACAAAUAAACCAUAUUAAUAUAAGAUGUUUAUAAUAGGGGUUUAACUGGGUAAGGUACAAUCAAAACUCAAUGUACUAUCUUCUCAAUUUUUCUAUAAAUCUGAAACUAUCUUAAAAAUGUAGUCUACUUAAUAAAGAAGGAGGGGGAAAGAUGGAGUUAUAUGACACAAAAUUAUUAUAUGCUAUACUAAGCAAUUUAGAAUAUGUUUGUGUCUGGAGACUCAUAAGAUAUGCACUCCAGUAGUCUGUGAAUGCUCAGACCAGGCAGAGAAGGCAAGGUCAAGGGUUUGAACUAAGAUGACAGCAGUGAGACUGAAUAGGAGACAGGAGGCAAGGUGCAAAGCAAUGGAGUUAAUAGCACUUAACCCCUGAUUCAAUUCGGGCAGGUGAUGAAAGGACGGAAAAGUCUACCAUAAUGGGUUUCAAGAUGAAAAUGAAGCAUUUGAAAAGGUUUAUAGAAGGAAGGAAAAAGACUUGAGUAUUUAAAAUUCUCUAAGAAAAAAAAAUUAUGUUGAGAAAGUCUUGAAUGGGCAUCUAUAAGGGUGGAGAGUUUUCUGGAGCUUGCCUUUACUAUGUGGCUGUGGAUGUUCUGGUCUUCAGCUGAUAAUACUUAGAGCCUUUCUUUGUCCCGCUCUGUGAUGUGAUCAUUUCUGUUUGUAACAAGCAGUAUUAGGUGAUUGACUGACUUCUCUGAAAGUACCCCCAGGUUUGAGGGCCCUGGUGCUUCAAUAAAUGCAGCAGCAUUUUGCCUUUCUGUGCUGAAAGUGACUCAAGAGGAUAAAGACAUGAGGUGGCAUCAGUGACUUUCCAUUGAUGAUCCUGCAGAACCCCCACUAAUGUGGGCCUUGGAAAUGUCAUCUUGUCGUUAUCUCAGGAGUCUGAGGAGAAGUAUGCUCUCCACUUGAUAAUUGUUUGAUUGUCAUUUUUAGAGACAUGAUUUCUUAAACUACUUAAAAUGGAAUGGAAGAGGAUUCCUGAUAAUAUUUAACUUUUUAUAAAAGGAAGAGAAAUGAGAUUAAAUUUUCUUGUUAUUAGUUUUUCAUUAACAGUUCAGUUUUUUGAUGUUUCUCUGUUAUAUAUCAUAGUCUAGUGUUGAUUUGAUUAUAGAAUUUGGAAGACAUUAGUAUAUUUUUCAUUUCUUU